UACGGGUCAUAAACUAGUACCUAAAGAAAACAAAACAAAUCAGCAACUUAAACAGAAACUUAAACAAAAUACAAUAAUUCGAAAGAAAACAAUCCAAGAGAUUAGCAAAGUUGCUAAUCCCCGGCAACGGCGCCAAAAUUUGAUGCGUAAAAUAACUAAGCACACAAAUUAAACCCUCUUUUUAUCAAUUGUAGUAAAGUAUGUAAGUAGGGAUCGUUCUAGGCCGGGGAUUAACAGUGAUUGCUAAAUCACUUGGAAACUGACUUGAAAACGUAAAAACAAAGUUUAAAACACUAAGUAGACUCAAAGAAUGCAAAACUAUACUUUAAAACACUAA
Molecule: long non-coding RNA, 337 nt
Filed under: Malus domestica (apple)
Lineage: Eukaryota; Viridiplantae; Streptophyta; Magnoliopsida; Rosales; Rosaceae
Description: long non-coding RNA (MDOM_LNC005281)
Source: RNAcentral